AGGGAUUGCCUCAGUAACGGCGAGUGAAGCGGCAACAGCUCAAAUUUGAAAUCUGGCCCUCUCAGGGUCCGAGUUGUAAUUUGGAGAAGAUGCUUCGGGUGUGGCCCCGGUCUAAGUUCCUUGGAACAGGACGUCACAGAGGGUGAGAAUCCCGUACGUGACCGGUGGCCUCCCCCGUGUGAAGCUCUUUCGACGAGUCGAGUUGUUUGGGAAUGCAGCUCAAAAUGGGUGGUAAAUUUCAUCUAAAGCUAAAUAUUGGCCAGAGACCGAUAGCGCACAAGUAGAGUGAUCGAAAGAUGAAAAGCACUUUGGAAAGAGAGUUAAACAGUACGUGAAAUUGUUGAAAGGGAAGCGCUUGCAACCAGACUUGCGCGCGGCCGAUCAUCUGGUGUUCUCACCGGUGCACUCGGCCGCGCUCAGGCCAGCAUCGGUUUGGGUGGCUGGAUAAAGGCCUCGGGAAUGUGGCUCUCUUCGGGGAGUGUUAUAGCCCGAGGUGCAAUGCAGCCUACCCGGACCGAGGACCGCGCUUCGGCUAGGAUGCUGGCGUAAUGGUUGUAAGCGACCCGUCUUGAAACACGGACCAAGGAGUCUAACAUCUAUGCGAGUGUUUGGGUGUCAAACCCAUACGCGUAAUGAAAGUGAACGGAGGUGAGAACCCUUAAGGGUGCAUCAUCGACCGAUCCUGAUGUCUUCGGAUGGAUUUGAGUAAGAGCAUAGCUGUUGGGACCCGAAAGAUGGUGAACUAUGCCUGAAUAGGGUGAAGCCAGAGGAAACUCUGGUGGAGGCUCGCAGCGGUUCUGACGUGCAAAUCGAUCGUCAAAUUUGGGCAUAGGGGCGAAAGACUAAU
Molecule: ribosomal RNA, 847 nt
Rfam family: Eukaryotic large subunit ribosomal RNA